RNAcentral lists this unclassified non-coding RNA (5014 nucleotides) under Hevea brasiliensis (rubber tree). The record is from RNAcentral. Lineage: Eukaryota; Viridiplantae; Streptophyta; Magnoliopsida; Malpighiales; Euphorbiaceae.
GAACACUUUCAACCAGAUCCAUUACAUGGCAAACCAGAACAUGGACAACAAGAAACCAAGAACAGAUUUAGACAUAUGAAAGGUGCUUGCUUCAUUUACUACAAUAAUAUGAAACUACAGUAGAAAAUAUGUGUGUGUGUACAUAUAUAUAAACACAUCCACACAGAAUAUAAUACAUAGCCAAAAACUGGGCCAAAUGUCUUGAGCCUGUUCUCUACAACUUAGCUCCCCAAGGAGAUGCAAUCAGCCAAGAAGCAGACUUAUUAACCAUAGAACAUGCACUCUUAAUAGUUAUGUCAAAUGACACUACUGUAAAAAUUAUAGAACAUUUCACAAACGGCUCUCCUUGUCAGAUAAAAAAUAUGGUAUCCCGCCAGCUUGAGAUCGAUGUAGGCAUUAAGUUCCCAUAGCAUCUGCAAAUUUAUCAUAUGAAAAUUUAAGCAAUGCAUUAGAAACCAAAAGAGUGAUUUAUAAACAAAAGCAAUGCUCACCCACAGAUUCUUCUUCCCAAAGAGCAGAAAAACGUUCUCAUAGAAUCUGAUAUCAAUUUUUAUGGGUCCAUUGGUAAUAGUUUUCUACUUUCUGUUUUAAGAAAUUGCCAAAAAACUCAAAAUGGAACACUUUGUCAUUUGGGUUCACGAAAUUGAACAUGAAGCCUACAUGUAUUUCCCGGACAUAUGAACAUGGUCUUGGCAGGGAAUUUUCAAUGAUAGCUUGAAAAAUGCCAGAUAAGGCAUAUCUCAUGAUUCCAAAAACUUUCUUCUGCUGCAUGACAACUUUAAUCCUGAAGAAUUCCAAAAUGGAUAAUUAUGGAACUUUUUUUUUCAAUUAAAGUGCAUAUCUAAUUACAGAAACUUGUUUGUUGACUUCAAAUACGCAAUGACCAGGUCAGCUUUCUUAAUUCUCUUUCAACUGACAAAAACUUCUUGUGAAGGGCAAAUAUGCAAAGACGAAAACAGUUACGAAAACACGGAUUGUAUUUGAGGGCUCAAUGGCUACACUAGAUAAAGAAGAUCAGGGCAAAUACAAAGUAAAACCAUCAGAUGUGAAGUAAGGAAAAGGGCAAGAAAGGAAAGGAUUGAAGGGAAGGAAAAGGCGGGAACGGAAUUAAAGCUCCCCUUCUAUCCAGGUACUUGGUUGUGGAAAGGAAAGGAACGGAAGGAAAGGGAGGAAUGAAGGAAAUAAGCACGUAAGGAACAAGGAGAAAAAGUGAGUCCAAAUCCAAUGUGAUAAAACUCGUUACUCCAUUUUCUUACAUUUCUCUCAACUUUUGAAAAGAAAAAUCAGUGGUUUUCUUUACAUGGCCAACUCCAUAUUCAUUCCCUCCAACGAGGUCUCAUGAACUAAUCAUGUAGCUAACUCCCUCACUUUUCCUUCCAUAGCUUCCCUUAAAUUCCAUUUCCCUCCAACCAAAUGGAAUGAAAAUUCCAAGUCUCAGCCUAAGAAAAUUUGUCAACAGAAGGUAACCAUUUGUUUUAACUAGUUCAAUAAAUUAUUAUUACUAAUACUGGGUAUUAUAUUUCCGGUGCCUUAUUUGUUCUCAAUAAUGCUUCUGAUGGGCGAACAGGACAGGACAAGACAAGCCUUCUCAAGAAAGCUAAUAACUUUAAUGUUAAGAUAGAAGAAAUAAAAUUCAAGAAACCAAAUGCAGUUAUGGAUUUAGAAAUUGCUGCUCUAUAUACUUGUUAAAAAAUUUGAAACCAGACACUUCAAUCAUCCAGAAAAGAAAGUUGAAUAGCUUACCAUCUUCGCUUGAACUGUAUUCCCUGUCAGUCUGUACUUGCAAUGGCUGCUUAAGGUCAGAUGAUUCACACUCAUGCAAGGGCUGGCUUUCUGAUGAGGGACAAUACUGGGGAACAGAAAACGAAAACCUGCUGGUUGUCUGCUUCUUAGAUGCUGAAGAUUCAGCAGUAGAGCAUAAGUCUUCAUCUGUUCUAGAGGUGCCUUCUAUGCCAUUAACUUUAAGCAGUUUAUCUCGAUGUGGUCUUUCCUCUUCCACAUACUUUGAUCUCUUCUUAUGAGCUGGACUGUUCUUGGGAUUUUGAAUUGUUGGUACCUUCUGAUCAUUAGAUGAAAUGGUGGGACAAGGAGCCUUUUCUUUUAACAUAGCCUUUGGAAUGGCCAAAUUUUCAUUACCAUCAGUGUUAUCAACAACAACUUCACUUGUUCCACCUGAAAUUGAAGCCCUUGCAGCUGCUUCCAUUUCCCACAUCUUGAAUAUGGCUUCAGUCAGACGUUCUCUGGCUAAAUCUAAUUCAAUUAUAGGUUUUGGGUAGUUUUGUCCCAAUUCCACCCCUGCAGCUUUAAGCACAGUAAGAGGUGCGUCCCAAGGAUGAUGGAUCCAUUCAGUUGGCAUUCUGGCAAGCUCAGGCAGCCAGUGUCUCACAUAUUCACCCUCUGGGUCAAAUUUUGAGCCUUGAAUCUCUGGACUAUCCAAACGUUCAAGCUCAUGGCCAUCAGGUAAGCUUCCAGAUAUGUACUGCCAACCAAGGAUGUCACUUUCCAAGUCUGCAUCCAAAAGUGUGUCCCAAAAAUACUUCAUCCCCCAUCUCCAUGGAAGAAGCAAAACUUUUACAGCAAAACUUGACACAAUCACUCUAAUUCUAUUAUGUAUCCAACCAGUUGCCCAAAGCUCACGCAUUCCUGCAUCAACUAGGGGAUAACCAGUUCGUCCCUGUCUCCAAGCCUUAAAAUGGGCCUGGUUGACAUCCCAGGGAAAGUACUUUAAGUUGCUCAGCAAUGAUCUCUCAUGAGUGAAUGGAAAGUUAAAACAAAGGUAUCGGGAAUAUUCCCUUAGCCCAAUGGAUCUAAGAAACAGAGUCACGCUUUCUUUCCCUAUUGAGUUCCCUUCUUUUGCCCACAGCAACUGUUUCAUUCGCACACAUUGGAAAACUUUCCUCACACUCAGUUCUCCAAAAUGAAGAUAUGGGGACAAAAGUGAGCUGGAGUUCACACCAACCUUUAGCCUAUUCUUUGAGUAGUCAAUUAGAUGAUGUUCAACAAAUUCAGCCAGUGCCUUGUCAGCAUUGCUCCAACCUGGUGACCAUCCCCUUCCUAGUAAGGAAUUGCUAGAUUUUUCUGUUUCAUCUUCAAGAUUUAAUUCCUCAACUGAGCAUUUCUCAACUUUUCCUGCAGUUGCCAGUAAUCGCCAUGGAGGAAGAUGUGAAACAGGUUCCAUUUGCAUGUGCAAGCACUUGUCCCAAUACGAGUCAAAUGUCGUAAAAGCUUGUCCACUUCCAUUAUAUAUUUCCCAUGGUUCAUACAACAAAUCCCCAUUAUAGCUUUGCACAGAAAUGCCAAGCUCCACCAGUUUUUCUUUGAUGCUGUGAUCACGAACAAGAGAUACUGGAUCAUAGAGAUGAUUGAAUACAACUCUUGUUGCUCCAAUAGCAUUGAUGCAAUCCAAAAGAGCAGCGAGAGUACUAUGGGUUUUGAUCAAGACAAGUUCAGCCCCAAGAGAUUUCAGGGAGUGUCCCAAGUGGGCAAGAGACUGCUUCAGCCACCACCUCGAUACUCUACCUGGGUAGAAUUGUCCUUCUUCUUGAGGACACCAUAUGAAGAUCGGAAAUACACUACCAUCCCUGGCUGAAGCAGCCAAUGCAGGAUUGUCCUCAAUUCUAAGAUCCCUCCUAAACCAAACAAUGGUCUUAUUGCUGCCCAUAUUGUAAUAACUCAGAUCUUUGAGGAUCACACUGGAGUUCAAAUCUAAUGAUGGUUGCACCUGUUCCUCCACAUAUUAGCUUCAAUUUAGAACUAAAAACAUAUAAAAGGCUUCUUGUUGAUCACAGUGCUUAAUCAAAUAAAUAAAUGCUGUCAGUUUCAUGAAGCAACUCACUUCAAAAACAAGGGACCCAUAGAGCAGAAAACCUGCGAAUAUCUAGAAUGGCAACAGGAAGCUCCAGCCCAAGACAACAGGACCAUAAAUUAGGAAUAACCAGUUCAGUUAAUAAUAGUGAAAUUUGGCUGCUAUCCCCAACCACCCAAACAGCAAAGCCUACUAAACUUUACUCUACCCUCUGUUACACCUCCGUAUACGUCUUGGAAUCCCAACUUCUACAAGUUGCCGCCACAAGCAAUGAACAUAUUGAAGAACACCUUUAUAUACACUCCCCCUAAAAAAAAAAAAAGAGUAAACCGUUCGUGUACCUUCUUGAUUCGCCUAAAGUUUGGUCAACUAACUGUAGUUUAGCUCUACAAACACAAAAAGAAAACCACGAUACAUCAUGUGAAUAUAAGAACACAGAUCUGGUACAGGCACCAAAUGAUUCCUUAAUAAUUUACAUUAAAGAAUGAUACCACAAACAAAAGGAGAUCAGAACCCAAUAAAGAAACCAAACAUCACUCGAGAAACAGAAACGAUCACAAAAAAGAAAGUAUUCCAACUGUACCCGGUUCUCGUUCGAGGUUGAUUAUGCAAGAAGAUAAAUGAUUUACCCCUACCCAGUUAGGGCAAGAGCAGAAUAGGUGCCAACCCAGUAGAUAUUGGUCAAAACGAUCCAUUGUACAGUAGUCGUAAUGUAGUGCUUUGGAAAAUUUUGGCGUUGGAUUGAAGUUGGAAUUGUCAUUAUGUGAUUGAGUGGGGUGUUGAUAUAUUUACCUGAGGAUCACGUGGCUAUGGUGAAAAUGAUGGUGGUGGUGGGCCUUAUCUUGUUUACUUUUGUGGAUCCAUGUAGUAAAAAUUGAAAAGAAAGAAGAUGAAAUCGUGAUAAGGGCCUCUUUCUCCUCAAUAUGGUGCGUAUCCGACAGGGAGACAGAGACUGCUCUCAAUAUUAGACUUUUUCCAGAGGAUUCAUUCUUGCUGCUUCUAAACUUUGCCAGUUUAGAAAAACUCCAAAAGAGACUCCUUUUAAGCAUAUUCUGUCGAUGCCAAUGAAAUUUCUGGCUUGGAUCAUGUAAAAUCUAGCACAAACUUGACUACAAAUUAAGCUUCAACCCUAGAAUUUUCCCCUGCCCACGAUUCUUCUAUCUUCCCAGGUUCGCCUUUACGCCAAAAAUUUUUAAAAAAUCCCUCUUC